Molecule: long non-coding RNA, 2233 nt
Organism: Patella vulgata (common limpet)
Lineage: Eukaryota; Metazoa; Mollusca; Gastropoda; Patellidae
Exons: 6
Source: RefSeq, a predicted model, not a curated record
CCAUAACAUGGUGAUCGAUGGUAGAUUACGUUUUGUUUGAUUUUAUCGACGUUGUGGAUACAACAACUGUUCAGCAAGAAGUUGAAAUCACAGGAAUGGCUAACGAAGUUGUAAAAGUUCCACUGGAAGAUGAAGAGAAUAAUUUAGGUUACUGCAAGUAUCAAUUAGAAGAAGAAAAAGGCGGUCCUGAUGUAGUCGAGGAGACAUUAGAACUAAACGAAAACAAGUGGUGGUUUCAGUGUCUAAUGUUGUUGUUUUUGCAUCUCACAUUGCUUUGUAUAGUUUUCCAAGUGUUUUUAAAGUGUCCAACAUGGAAUAAAACGAUGGUGGCAUUUGCAAUUGUACAGGUCGUAAUCGUCGUCUUGGCCUACCUCAUGCGACACUAUGGCCACAGGAAUAUGGGACAGCGAAAAAUUACUUUUGCUUUUCUGCUUGUAUUUUCUGCCACUGAAAUGGUUAUUUUUGGGUCCACAUUACCCGUGGGAACCGAGACGGAUUGUGACCGUUGUUACCUGGCCCCAGAUGAUGUUCUGUUGUUAAUAAUAUUGACAUGUUUCUAUUGUGUCCAGCUCACAGUUCUUGCUUGCACAUCGCAUCCUUGCUGGGUUAAACCAGCAUUUAAAUACAAGAACUUUACACCAUCCGUUAGUUGACAUUUGUUUGUUGUGUGUUAGAUAAGUGGAUGGAUGAACUGUUUGAACUGACAUGCAGUGCCGAAUAUAUAUCAUAUAGGAGUACUGAAGUCAUUGCGAACCUUUUUUACCAGGCUUUUAUAAUCUAGUCUAGUCAAGACAAACUAGACAGACAAUGCAGGUUAUUUUUACAAUUGUACCACAAGUUAGUCCUGCGCUUACCGAGUUUUUAUACGCCCACAUUUUCAUUUAGACGUAUAUUGUCGACGCCCCUGUCCGUCCGGACGUCCACAAUUGUUUGUUGACUCUCUACAGGUCACAAUUCUUAUCUGAUUUUGACGAAACUUGAAAUAUAGGUUUAUCUCCAAAAGAUCUCCAAUUGUAACUUCAUGGAUUAUGGCACAAUUUUGAAACGAUUUUGAUGAAACUUGACAUGCAUGUUUAUAACCCAAAGAUCUUGGUUCCAUUCGAUAUUUGCGCAUAUCGGAUCAUAACUUCCUGAAUUAUGGCCCCUGAUUGUCCGAAAAAUCGCCUUUUUGAUAGCUUGUGAUCCCUCUGGAGGUCAUAAUUAUUAUACGAUUUAAUAAGCCGUUUGAUUACAUCACCGUUACACCGUAAGGAAGGUUGAGUUUGAAUUUCGUCAAAAUCGGACCAAAAUUGCCGGACAAAAUGGCCGCGGCUUGUAUGCGAAGUGUAAAAAUAUGGUAUAUCAAGGUUGUGGACCUUGUAGAGGUCACAAUUUUAAUUCGAUUUUGGUGAAACUUGAAAUGCAUGUUUAUAAGCUAAAGAUCUUGCUUCCAUUCGAUCGAUAUUUGAGCAUAUCGGAUCGUCACUUCAUGAAUUAUGACCCUUGAUUGUAGGAAAAAUCACUUUCUUUUUAGCUUGUUCUCUAUUCAUCUCUCGAAAAUGUGGGCGUAUCCUGCCUGGCAGCCGCUGGUCUCUCUUUUUGCCAACCAGAAAAUAUAGUUUAGCUAUAAACAAGCCAUCGCCAUCUUUAAGGACUGUGUGCGAUAUCACUUCGGUGGAAGCGGACGUAAAUAAAAGCCAUGUCACAUACACACACACACACACACCCACCCACAGCCCCACACACAUCGUUAAGGUUUACUGAACCCCUCUGAUUGUCCUGAAUGCAAGCCGGGGGGUCAUCUACCGGUGAUUAUUUGAUUGUGUGUUCUCUAUAAAGGUCAAAUAAUCAGUUUGUCGGUUUAUUUUAACGAAUCAGUUGAUUAAUUAGUACUCACAUCAUUCCUGUGAAGACGGCAUGCAAUUUUCGGUGUUCGAGUUGAGCCAUUUAUUUCAUUGCGUUACUUUUUUUUGUAUACCCUCGAGUUAAGACUUUGUAUGGAGUUCAAUCUUGACAAACCCAAAUUAUUUGUUGACGGUAGACAUUACUUGUGUUAAUUAUAUGGAAAAAAAACACAAGCCUAAAAAUUUACUCAAGUUUAUGGUCUUCUGUAUUCAAAUAUAAAACAGGUGAUAUUGAUCCCAAUAUCUUUUUACUUGAUCAAACCUGUUCACAACUACCCAGGCUAUUUAUAAUAUUGACUCUACUCAGUAUAAUAUCUACACAAUAAUCAAAUAAAAGCACUCAUGCAAGA